UUAGCUCCUGCGCUGUGGAGUAUCUCCUUGAUUUCCCUAUCACCUGCUUCACUUGGAAAUAUCAGCAACACGUCAAGGGCGGUGAGACCAGAAUUGUUCAUCAGAUUUACUUCAGUCACUCCUGAACCAGGUAUAGUUGCAUCACCAAGCAAGAAUUCUAUCACCUGCCAAGUUAUUUCUGCGUUAGUCCAUUCAUUCAUCUGUAUAAAAUGAUAAUGAAAAAAAAAAAACUUAUAUUACUAUUUUUCCAUUUUCAGCAUCUUUAUUAUGGUCAUGCUUAUCACCUUCAUCCCUUAAACAACUCUUAUUACUAUUCUUCCUUUUACUACUAAACUAUCAACUAAGGCUUGGACAUAUGUUCAACCCCACGUGCCACAGGGAUUACUUCUAGCAACACCUGAACCAACAGUUCCUUUAAUAGAUGGAUUGACCAAAAACCUCAUAACUAAACAAUAAAACGCUCGUGAAAAACCACAAUGCUGCUUAUUAACAACUUUAUAUUGCAGAAUAAUUUUAGUUUUGUUCAUUUAUUGAUGUGAAAAGAUAUUGAAACUAGGGUAGGGGCUCAAGUUCAAAUAUAACAAUAAGAGCCUCAUCCAUAAGCUAAGUUUCUACACUACUCCUUUGGUGUUUGCUCAAAUUCUAGAUUCUUUUCUUUGCUGGGUGUUGUUGUGAGUAGCGUUCAUAUUGAUGGGUCCAUGGAGCAAGGCCAGAAACCUACACGCCCAUGUUAAUUGAGUUCGAAACAACUGUAUUUUCAGCUUAAUUCUCUGAUAAGUUGAAAAGAGUGUCACUGAGUUUAGGAAGCCUGGUUUCUUGGUCCUUCUCAGAUUUGGCUGCUGAAAAUCCAUUAGUUGAUAAGCCAACUUGCUAAGGUCAAAGACUUCUCUUUUAUUUUUAUUUUCUUAAACUAAAGGGACUAUCAUCAAUCCUGGAUUAUGCCUUCAUUAAUUAAUCAAAAGCCCUUUCUAUAUGGAAUUACACUCUGUUUGCUGCAGUUUUAACUUCUAGCGCAACUCUUUUGCAAAGGCAUCUCACCCUCAGCUAUUGAAAGGAGCUUUUAGGUCUCAAACAUUCUACUUAAAAAGACAUCAGCCUUCAACCAAACAUCCUAUAAAGGCCCCCACUAAACAUGUCUUUUAAGCACAUGAAGUAGCAUAUGCAUACCUUAGUAUUGAAAAUUAGAAUACUGAAUAUCAAGUUACUUUGUAGGGUACCGCUAUAUUUUACAAUCAGUUUCGCCAAUUUGCUUCUAGAAAUAGACACAGCUCAUAAAUGUUUGUAAUUAUAAGAUUUAUGUUGCAUGUCAGUGACUGUGGAUAAAGAAAGCUAUCUGGUGAAGAAUAUACAACAUAUUCCUACAUUGAAUGCUUGAACUUGCCUGGCGUUGCUUUCUCCAGGUUGCUAGGUGAAGGAUUGUGUUGCCAUGCUCAUCCUUCAUAUUCAACACAUCCUCCCUUCUCAUCUCUCUCACCUUCUCCACCA
This 1485-nucleotide long non-coding RNA is filed under the name Vitis vinifera (wine grape). RNAcentral describes it as "long non-coding RNA (VVIN_LNC005303)". The record is from RNAcentral. Lineage: Eukaryota; Viridiplantae; Streptophyta; Magnoliopsida; Vitales; Vitaceae.